GGCUUAUACAUGCAAGUCGAGGGGCAGCGGGGGUAGCAAUACCUGCCGGCGACCGGCAAACGGGUGCGGAACACGUACGCAACUUUCCCAAAACUGGUGAAUAGCCUUCCGAAAGGGAGAUUAAUACACCGUAAGAUGUAGGAGUGGCAUCACUCUUAUAUUAUAGCUCCGGCGGUUUUGGAUGGGCGUGCGGCUGAUUAGGUAGUUGGCGGGGUAACGGCCCACCAAGCCUUCGAUCAGUAACUGGUGUGAGAGCACGACCAGUCACACGGGCACUGAGACACGGGCCCGACUCCUACGGGAGGCAGCAGUAAGGAAUAUUGGUCAAUGGACGCAAGUCUGAACCAGCCAUGCCGCGUGCAGGAUGAAGGCCCUCUGGGUUGUAAACUGCUUUUAUCUGGGACGAAACAAGGGAAUUCUUUCCCUCUUGACGGUACCAGAGGAAUAAGCACCGGCUAACUCCGUGCCAGCAGCCGCGGUAAUACGGAGGGUGCAAGCGUUAUCCGGAUUUACUGGGUCUAAAGGGUGCGUAGGUGGGUAUGAAAGUCAGUGGUGAAAUCUUCAAGCUUAAUUUGGAAACUGCCAUUGAUACUUUAUAUCUUGAAUAUCCCGGAGGUAAGCGGAAUAUGUCAUGUAGCGGUGAAAUGCUUAGAUAUGACAUAGAACGCCCAUUGCGAAGGCAGCUUACUACAGGAUUAUUGACACUGAGGCACGAAAGCGUGGGGAUCAAACAGGAUUAGAUACCCUGGUAGUCCACGCCCUAAACGAUGGAUACUCGACAUCAGCGAUACACUGUUGGUGUCUGAGCGAAAGCAUUAAGUAUCCCACCUGGGAAGUACG
RNAcentral lists this ribosomal RNA (840 nucleotides) under uncultured bacterium. Its description in RNAcentral is "bacterial SSU rRNA". It matches the Rfam family "Bacterial small subunit ribosomal RNA", at positions 45 to 884 of the family's 1533-position model. The record is from RNAcentral.